GUCUAGUCACAGGCAUAGAGUACUGGGCUGCCAUGUAGGCGUCCCCUCCCUGUAUCCCUAGACCUGUCCUUCUGGUUUAGCUCCACCUCUGUUAGUACACAGUGAAACAUUCACCUGCCAUCAGACCACGACCAAAGACUCUUAAAGUAGGGAGACCCUACAUUGCCAGUGACAACUCCUUUUUUUUUUCUGUAUCUGCUGGAAUUUAAAGGACAAGUGUAUCAAGGACACAGACUACAAGAACGUAGGAAAGUUAGGAGGCUCCUGUCCCAGCGCCUUCCAGUCCGCCUCUGGUUACAGCUUCAUUUUAGAAGCAGGAACAAACAGAAAUAUCCUUUUAAUUUAACUGAUGCAGCGAUGAGUCAGUCAGGAUCUACUGGGAGCAAGCAUGGAUCCUCCAAUGGAGGACCAAGCAAAAUGAGUGCAAAAGAUCUAUUUGAACAGAGGAAAAAGUAUUCCAACUCAAAUGUCAUCAUGCACGAAACAUCUCAAUACAAUGUAGAGCAUCUGGCGACAUUUUUGAUGGAUAAGAAUGAUUCCCUGGGUACUGUGGAAGAUGCUGUAAAACAAUUAUUUCAGCUGGAAUCGAAGGACAAGAUCUGGGCCCAGGAGAUGAUCUUCCAAGUAAUGAACACAUCGAUCAGUCUUCUCGACUCUGCCACUCAGGAAGAACUAGAAAAUUUCCCCCUCUCCAUAGUCCAACACUGUCGUAGCCUUCAAGGUCCUCAUCGAUAUCCUCACAUUCUUCUUCUAGUAUGUCAGGAGGCUGACCAAAACAAACCCGAUAUACACUUCUUCAACUGUGAGAUGGAGGCUGAAUUGGUUCAUGCAGAUAUAGAAAGUGCACUUGCAGACAUUAAACAUGGAAAGAAAAUGAGACUACAGACCCUCAAGAUUAACCAGGAGAGGAUCAAGCAAAGGGAAUCCAUCCUACCUCCUGCCACUGCCCCCAAGCCAGCCAACAGGGACAACAAGAACCGAGUCAUUUCACCGGCUUCAGCAAGUGAAAUUGAGUUUGAUCGAAGAAGUAACAUGUCCCAAGAACCCGAAGAAUCAAGGGAGGCGCUGGCUAAGAAGAUUGAGAAGGAAACACAAUGCCUUAACUGCACACUGGAUGACAUAGAGUUUUUUGUGGCAAAGCUACAAAAAGCAGCAGAAGCUUUUAAGCAACUGAACCAGAGAAAGAAAGGAAAAAAGAGCAAAAAGAAGGGGCCAGCAGAGGGAGUCCUGACAUUACGAUCUAGACCACCAAAUGAGCUAGAGUUCAUAGAUUGCUAUCAGAAGAUCAAGCUGGCCAUAAACCUGUUGGCCAAGUUAAAAAAACAUAUACAGAAUCCUAGUUCAGCCGAACUCAUCCAUUUUCUCUUUGGACCACUGGAACUGAUAGUUCAGAGCUCUGGAGGUCCAGAUUUAGGAAGAUCUAUUACCUGCCCUCUGCUUUCCAAGGAUGCCACUGACUUCCUUAGGGGUCAUCUAACUCCGAAGGAAAUGCAACUUUGGGAGGCUUUGGGAGACAGAUGGACUAAAUCAAGGGCAGAAUGGCCAAGAGAACCUAUAAUUCCACAAUACAUACCAAAAUUUAAUAAUGGAUGGAUACCCCCAAUAGAAAUCUUUCAAGGAGCACCAUGGGAGCUAGAUAUGGGACACCCACCAGAGCCUGUUAAGCCUUUUAUCCUAGAAGAGCCACCAAAGCCAAAGGAAAAUCAUGGACCCAGGACCAAUCUUCCUCCUCCUAAUGGAAAUCCUUACAGGACACCAUCAUUCAAACAACAAAACCUUCCAGAAAUAAAGCCGCAGUAUAGCCCUCCAGGCCGCCAAAAACUGACCAGUUAUGACGCACCAGUGCCGGCACAGCCACAGAAAUGCGCCAAAAUCCGUUAUGACUUCACUGCUCGAAAUGCCAAUGAGCUGUCAGUGCUUAAGGAUGAAGUCCUGGAGGUUCUUGAGGACAAUAAGCAGUGGUGGAAAUUAAGAAACAGGAUUGGGCAGGAGGGAUAUGUUCCCUAUAAUAUCCUAGACGUAGUAUCUACUGAUGAAUUCCACCAACCAGAUGGUCACGUGCCUGCAUCCAAGUACAAAGGAGAUGUGAGCCCCAGAGGACCCAUUAGCCCUGCAUACAAGAUUCCUGGUAGCUAUGCUGGAGAUAAGUGGGGGAGCGAGAUGGCAGGAUGGUCAAACAACCAAAAAGAGCAGAUAAUUCACAAUAUGGAUGAACUGAAUGAUGAACUCCUAAAGAAGUUAACAACACAGCAGGGACCUAAAAGAAAUUUUGCAGCACCAAAAGUCCAGCAAGUCCAUGUACCAUUAACUUUCGAAUCUGAGCCAGAGGAAGUCAAAGCUUGGCUAGAGGCCAAGGGCUUUAGUAAACCAACCUCGGGACAGCUAGGUAUAUUAAAUGGGGCACAGCUUUUCUCUCUCAAUAAGGAAGAGCUCAAGAAAGUUUGUGGAGAAGAAGGUGCAAGAGUAUACAGCCAGCUGACUGUACAGAAGUCUCAACUAGAGAAGAGUCAGGGUGGAUCAGAACUUCAGGAAAUCUUGUCACGACGUCAAGAAAAGAUCAAAACAGACAACUAAGAGCAGAAGAUCUUCCCUGUCCAUUUCUCUACCCACGGAGCCUUGCAAAAUCACUUGCUGCAGAUAUUUAUGCCUCUGGCUGCAUAAAGUUUAGGGUUUGACACCCAUAACUUGUUAGAGCAAGCGACAUAAGACAUGGACCUCACCAGGAAACAUAUAUAUAAAUGUAUACAUAGAUGUGCAGCAAAUGUUAACAUGUCUUCUAGUGGAAAAUAUGGUACAUUGCAGAGUUUUCACCACCAAACACCAUUGCUUCCAAGCACUUGUCAGAAGCUGAACCUACUAGAGGAUAUCUGCAUAUCUUUACCAGCCUUCAAUCAUUCCUAUUUCCAGAUGAAUAUUUCUCUAAAGAAAAAGUGUGGCAAACGAUAUUUCCUGACAUUUUAUAUGAAAAUUUGAUUUAUUUGAAAAUGUCAUAAUACACUAAAGAACGCUCUCAAGUUCUAAGUAUUUUUUAGCAUUUGAGACGUCUCAGGAAACACUAAGGGGGAGAUUUAUCAAAACCUGUGCAGAUAAAAA
Molecule: RNA transcript, 3093 nt
Organism: Hyla sarda
Lineage: Eukaryota; Metazoa; Chordata; Amphibia; Anura; Hylidae
Gene: EPS8L2
Gene name: EPS8 like 2
Exons: 24
Source: RefSeq, a predicted model, not a curated record